Molecule: long non-coding RNA, 147 nt
Organism: Etheostoma spectabile (orangethroat darter)
Lineage: Eukaryota; Metazoa; Chordata; Actinopteri; Perciformes; Percidae
Exons: 3
Source: RefSeq, a predicted model, not a curated record
CCUGUUGGCCUCCUCUUGUAGCCUUAGUCUUCUCUCCUCCAUCUUCCUCUGGAGCUAAUGUUGCGACCAACAUUAAGGAAACCUCCACACAUCAUAGUGCUCACAUGGAUCAGCCGUUAGUGAUGGUGUCUGCUGAUUAGAAAUAAC